This 560-nucleotide long non-coding RNA is filed under the name Aedes aegypti (yellow fever mosquito). RNAcentral's name for it is "lncRNA AAEL021527". The record is from RNAcentral. Lineage: Eukaryota; Metazoa; Arthropoda; Insecta; Diptera; Culicidae.
UUAAGCGUGUUAAGUUUGUUUGCCUCCGACGUAGAAAAAAAGAAAAAAAAGUUGUGAAGCGAAAAAAGGUGAAUCAAUUUGUGUUGAAUGUUGUAUUUUUCAAAAAGAAGUGUUCCAAUGAGGUUUCUACUACUUUUCGGGAACGAAAACCUCUGCGCCUUGUGUAAAAUUGAAACCUCCGGAUGUGAAGCCUGCAUCAAAACCAAUUCAAACACAACAUCCCGCUCGGACCGAUAUAUCCCCGUAGGGUUCGUCAUCGCUCGGUCCCCAGCAAUCAACAAGCGGAUUAUCUACAACAAGCAUUCGACGGAUAACACUUUCGGCGAACCUAAAUCAUUGCAAACCCGGGACAAAUUCAGCACAUUUUAUAAAUGUGAUCGCGAAGUACAUAGUUGGGAUCUAUUUCCCUUCGGCAAAAGGAAAUGACAGCGGCCGAAAUUCAGCAGCUUUUACCAAUCAGAAGAGCUCGGCAAAAGUGAUUUUUGUGUGACUUCGCAAAUCUAGGAAAUCCGGAAAAUGAUUUCAUUUUUAUAAGUGAAAAUAUAUUAUAAGCAUUUCAA